AUCUCUGGCUCCUCUGCAUUUAAUCGAGAAAAUCUUUCGCCUUUUACUAAAGAUUUCCGUGCCAAGAAGCAUUUUAUGAGUAUACGAGAAUUUUUGGAAUCCCCUCGAAAAGCGGGGUG
Molecule: small nuclear RNA, 119 nt
Filed under: Necator americanus (New World hookworm)
Lineage: Eukaryota; Metazoa; Nematoda; Chromadorea; Rhabditida; Ancylostomatidae
Description: U5 spliceosomal RNA
Rfam family: U5 spliceosomal RNA
About the family: U5 RNA is a component of both types of known spliceosome. The precise function of this molecule is unknown, though it is known that the 5' loop is required for splice site selection and p220 binding, and that both the 3' stem-loop and the Sm site are important for Sm protein binding and cap methylation.
Source: RNAcentral